This 77-nucleotide transfer RNA is filed under the name Aeromicrobium sp. Its description in RNAcentral is "tRNA-Arg". It matches the Rfam family "tRNA". Rfam says of the family: Transfer RNA (tRNA) molecules are approximately 80 nucleotides in length. Lineage: Bacteria; Bacillati; Actinomycetota; Actinomycetes; Propionibacteriales; Nocardioidaceae. RNAcentral also lists the same sequence under 4 other names. The record is from RNAcentral.
GCGCCCUUAGCUCAGCCGGAUAGAGCGUCUGACUACGAAUCAGAAGGUCGGGAGUUCGAAUCUCUCAGGGCGCGCCA